CUCAGUUCGGAUCGGAGUCUGNAACCCGACUCCGUGAAGCUGGAUUCGCUAGUAAUCGCGCAUCAGCCAUGGCGCGGUGAAUACGUUCCCGGGCCUUGUACACACCGCCCGUCAAGCCAUGGGAGCCGGGGGUGCUUGAAGUGCGUCGCCGUGAGGCGCGCCCUAGAGCAAAACCGGUGACUGGGGCUAAGUCGUAACAAGGUAAC
RNAcentral lists this ribosomal RNA (206 nucleotides) under uncultured bacterium. RNAcentral's name for it is "partial 16S ribosomal RNA". It matches the Rfam family "Bacterial small subunit ribosomal RNA", at positions 1287 to 1500 of the family's 1533-position model. The record is from RNAcentral.